RNAcentral lists this unclassified non-coding RNA (653 nucleotides) under Bradyrhizobium sp. TMa/TaleMossiS1/INERA62/STM10198. RNAcentral describes it as "partial 16S-23S rRNA intergenic spacer". The stretch from base 522 to 653 matches the Rfam family "Bacterial large subunit ribosomal RNA", at positions 1 to 129 of the family's 2925-position model. The record is from RNAcentral. Lineage: Bacteria; Pseudomonadati; Pseudomonadota; Alphaproteobacteria; Hyphomicrobiales; Nitrobacteraceae.
CGGAGUUCAGUCUUCCCAGGCCCACCACUUUCAUCGAGUGAGCAUUCGUCUUCUGGUUACGGGGCCAUAGCUCAGCUGGGAGAGCGCGUGCUUUGCAAGCAUGAGGUCGUCGGUUCGAUCCCGUCUGGCUCCACCAGAUGGUUUGAUCACCGAGAUCUUGUACCGUCGUCCGCGAAACAUCACUUCGCAUCCUGCUAGUCUGGAUAGACAGCAAGAUGCGUGUUUUCUGACAUCGUAAAGAGGAGAUCGAUCCGAGUUGGGUCGUGCAGCGGAUUGUUGCGCGAAUCCUUCAUUAUCUCCGGAUCAUUUUCGGCGCUCGCUUUCAGCCGUGAGGUUGAAUGCGAGUUGUAAAAUGAUCCUUUUAGCGAAGCUUGACCGCCUCGCUAUCGGAACGAUCUUACGAAGCAAGCUGGUCUUUCUAGUCAAUGUCCGGCUGUGCGUAGCGUUCAUCGAGGGCGCGUGCCGUAAGGCAAUCGUACAGACAACAUUCUGCCGAGUGUGUGGACAUUGAUAAUGAGAGCAAUCAAGUGCCUUAAGGGUGUUCGGUGGAUGCCUUGGCGCUGAGAGGCGAUGAAGGACGUGCUACGCUGCGAUAAGCCGUGGGGAGCUGCGAAGAAGCUUUGAUCCGCGGAUUUCCGAAUUGGGAAAAACCC